RNAcentral lists this ribosomal RNA (323 nucleotides) under Sandonidae sp. RNAcentral describes it as "SSU rRNA". It matches the Rfam family "Eukaryotic small subunit ribosomal RNA", at positions 633 to 955 of the family's 1831-position model. Lineage: Eukaryota; Cercozoa; Glissomonadida; Sandonidae. The record is from RNAcentral.
GAUUUCUGGCUUGAAACAAUCAAUCGGCUACGGUUUCGUAUGUCUGUAUUGUGUUGUUCUGGCCAUCCUUCCAUUCUCGUCGUAUCUGCUCUUCAUUGACUGGAUACGAUGAAUGGAUCUUUUACUUUGAAAAAAUUAGAGUGUUUAAAGCAGGCUUUUGCUAUGAAUACAUUAGCAUGGAAUAAUAAUCUAGGACUUCGGUUCUAUUUUGUUGGUUUCUAUAACUGAAGUAAUGAUUGAUAGGGAUAGUUGGGGGUGCUAGUAUUGGCCGGCCAGAGGUGAAAUUCUUGGAUUCGGUCAAGACUAACUUAUGCGAAAGCAUU